GGACAGCUGGCCGAGCGGUUGAAGGCACCUGAUUCGAAAUCAGGCAAACCUGCAAGGGUUUCGGGGGUUCGAAUCCCUCGCUGUCCGCCA
This 90-nucleotide transfer RNA is filed under the name Deltaproteobacteria bacterium. RNAcentral describes it as "tRNA-Ser". It matches the Rfam family "tRNA". Rfam says of the family: Transfer RNA (tRNA) molecules are approximately 80 nucleotides in length. Their secondary structure includes four short double-helical elements and three loops (D, anti-codon, and T loops). Further hydrogen bonds mediate the characteristic L-shaped molecular structure. tRNAs have two regions of fundamental functional importance: the anti-codon, which is responsible for specific mRNA codon recognition, and the 3' end, to which the tRNAs corresponding amino acid is attached (by aminoacyl-tRNA synthetases). tRNAs cope with the degeneracy of the genetic code in two manners: having more than one tRNA (with a specific anti-codon) for a particular amino acid; and 'wobble' base-pairing, i.e. permitting non-standard base-pairing at the 3rd anti-codon position. Lineage: Bacteria; Pseudomonadati; Myxococcota; Myxococcia. The record is from RNAcentral.